RNAcentral lists this ribosomal RNA (252 nucleotides) under uncultured bacterium. RNAcentral describes it as "partial 16S ribosomal RNA". It matches the Rfam family "Bacterial small subunit ribosomal RNA", at positions 524 to 775 of the family's 1533-position model. The record is from RNAcentral.
UACAGAGGUCCCAAGCGUUGUUCGGAUUCAUUGGGCGUAAAGGGUGUGUAGGUGGCGCCGUAAGUCGGGUGUGAAAUUUCGGAGCUUAACUCCGAAACUGCAUUCGAUACUGCGGUGCUUGAGGACUGGAGAGGAGACUGGAAUUCAUGGUGUAGCAGUGAAAUGCGUAGAGAUCAUGAGGAAGACCAGUGGCGAAGGCGGGUCUCUGGACAGUUCCUGACACUGAGACACGAAGGCCAGGGGAGCAAACGG